GGGCUGGGGCUCAGUGGUAGAGUGCUCACCUAGCACGUGAGAGGCGCUGGGUUGGAUCCUCAGCACCACA
This 70-nucleotide transfer RNA is filed under the name Marmota monax (woodchuck). RNAcentral describes it as "tRNA.Ala". The record is from RNAcentral. Lineage: Eukaryota; Metazoa; Chordata; Mammalia; Rodentia; Sciuridae.